UGGGGAAUAUUGCACAAUGGGCGCAAGCCUGAUGCAGCCAUGCCGCGUGUAUGAAGAAGGCCUUCGGGUUGUAAAGUACUUUCAGCGGGGAGGAAGGUGUUGAGGCUAAUAACCUCAGUAAUUGACGUUACCCGCAGAAGAAGCACCGGCUAACUCCGUGCCAGCAGCCGCGGUAAUACGGAGGGUGCAAGCGUUAAUCGGAAUUACUGGGCGUAAAGCGCACGCAGGCGGUCUGUCAAGUCGGAUGUGAAAUCCCCGGGCUCAACCUGGGAACUGCAUUCGAAACUGGCAGGCUAGAGUCUUGUAGAGGGGGGUAGAAUUCCAGGUGUAGCGGUGAAAUGCGUAGAGAUCUGGAGGAAUACCGGUGGCGAAGGCGGCCCCCUGGACAAAGACUGACGCUCAGGUGCGAAAGCGUGGGGAGCAAACA
RNAcentral lists this ribosomal RNA (427 nucleotides) under uncultured bacterium. RNAcentral describes it as "partial 16S ribosomal RNA". It matches the Rfam family "Bacterial small subunit ribosomal RNA", at positions 355 to 774 of the family's 1533-position model. The record is from RNAcentral.